AUAAUAUGUUGUGUUGUGACCAGUGAUGUGAUGGAAUGUGGAUGCGAUGUUGGACCCGAAGAAGGGGCAGGAGAUUCGUCACGAAGAGGCACGGUCCGUGUCUGCAGCGCGUGGGGUGAAUUCAGCUACAGCUUAGGUCCACUUGCCUGCCUUUCAAAAGCAAAUUGUAACGUGGUAACUACUGGACUUGGACUGGAUGUUUGGCCAGGUCAUAUUUUUGUAAAACUGAACUAAACCACACACGGGAGCUCAUAAUUCAUCAACCCUAGGGUAACCGAUGGACAAUCUAACCAUUUCGAUUACAUACAUCAUGCCGGGAAGGUCUUGCAUAAGAAAACAACACUCCGCACAUUGAAUGACCAUCGUAGAAACCCACCUAAAAUAAAUUUUAAAAUCGGAAUCCUGAUUUACAAGACUACAGUGUCGACCCACCCAUCAAAC
Long non-coding RNA from Armigeres subalbatus, 441 nucleotides. RefSeq lists it as uncharacterized. Lineage: Eukaryota; Metazoa; Arthropoda; Insecta; Diptera; Culicidae. The transcript has 4 exons. The record is from RefSeq and is a predicted model, not a curated record.